GAUGAACGCUGGCGGCGUGCCUAAUACAUGCAAGUCGAGCGAACGGACGAGAAGCUUGCUUCUCUGAUGUUAGCGGCGGACGGGUGAGUAACACGUGGAUAACCUACCUAUAAGACUGGGAUAACUUCGUGAAACCGGAGCUAAUACCGGAUAAUAUUUUGAACCGCAUGGUUCAAAAUUGAAUGACGGUCUUGCUGUCACUUAUAGCUGGUUCCGCGCUGCAUUAGCUAGUUGGUAAGGUAACGGCUUACCAAGGCAACGAUGCAUAGCCGACCUGAGAGGGUGAUCGGCCACACUGGAACUGAGACACGGUCCAGACUCCUAAGGGAGGCAGCAGUAGGGAAUCUUACGCAAUGGGCGAAAGCCUGACGGAGCAACGCCGCGUGAGUGAUGAAGGUCUUCGGAUCGUAAAACUCUGUUAUUAGGGAAGAACAUAUGUGUAAGUAACUGUGCACAUCUUGACGGUACCUAAUCAGAAAGCCACGGCUAACUACGUG
RNAcentral lists this ribosomal RNA (497 nucleotides) under uncultured bacterium. RNAcentral describes it as "partial 16S ribosomal RNA". It matches the Rfam family "Bacterial small subunit ribosomal RNA", at positions 28 to 507 of the family's 1533-position model. The record is from RNAcentral.